GAAUUCACAAUGUGAGAGAGAGAGAGAGAUCAAAUUUCCCGAAGAAUAUAUCUGAUCCCGUCAGAGAAAGAGAGAGAUAGAGCGCUCGCAAAAGGAAGAUAUAUCGGCCUUAACCAAAGAAACGGGAAAUUGGAGAGGAGGAAGGGAGAAUUUUAUCAAGGCGGUGGUUGUUUGUGAAUUUUGCAAAAUGGAAUAGCAGAGAAGAAUUGGUGGGGAGAGUUUGGGUUGGCUGAGCUCCCAAGGGUUUGUUUGUAUUUAGUUGUAAUUGAUUUUAAAUAUUUUUUUCGAAUUUUCAUUUUUUGUUAGUUGAUUUCGUUAUUUGAGAAUUGAGUUGUGAUUUUUCUAUAUUUGGUUCUUCUGCAUGUGAUGAUUUGUAUUUGGAGAGUUGAGAAAAUGAAGAAUCCGUGAUUUCUGUUUGAUGAAUUGAUCUAUCUUUCAUCAUCUUUUCGUUCCCCCAAUCUUUUUUAAAAUUCUGUUCUUACUUAAGUUUAAAGGUUGGGGGAACGAAAAGAUGACUUAGAAUUUGAAAGACACAGAAAUUGCACCAAAGUGAUUAGGCUUAGUCUAGAUGACUUAGAAUAAAAGGAUGGUUUUGUUUCUCAGUUGAAUUGCAGUAAGUUGUUUUUCCAUUUGUCUAUGCAGGUUUCCAAGUAGGGAUUUGGGUGUAUGGGACUAUAAUGUGCCGGUGCCUGAAAAUUUUGGCAUAUCAAUGAUCAAGUGUGCAUAUGAUAGAGGAAUAACAUUCUUCGAUACAUCUGAUGUUUAUGGACCACAUGCUAAUGAAGUUUUUAUCGGAAAGGUGAAAUAUAAGCAAGGUAUUCUUCACCAUCAACCAAAGAAAGUGAAGGAGGACUUGGUCAUGAAAAACAUAGAUUUGGCUGGUGUUUAGAGCAAUGUGAUCAAUAACCAUGACAUAGAACUCAAAGAAGAAGAAAGUGCCUUGCUGAAGGCUUGAAGAUUCCAGUUUAGCCGCUUAGGCAUGUGAGAGUAAAGCAGCUCCAGUUUUGUCAUAUCAAUUUUUCUGCUUGGUGUUGUAAAUAUAUCAUUAUUAUUAGGUUUUCCAUAAGCAAGGUUCUGAUUUUUUUAUACUGAACCCUGCAAGUUUGGUUAAUCUAUUAUUGGAUUU
This is a long non-coding RNA of Rosa rugosa (rugosa rose), 1126 nucleotides long. RefSeq lists it as uncharacterized. NCBI's taxonomy places the organism in Eukaryota, Viridiplantae, Streptophyta, Magnoliopsida, Rosales, Rosaceae. The transcript is spliced from 3 exons. The record is from RefSeq and is a predicted model, not a curated record.